Esox lucius (northern pike) is the source of this 893-nucleotide long non-coding RNA. RefSeq lists it as uncharacterized. The transcript has 2 exons. The record is from RefSeq and is a predicted model, not a curated record. NCBI's taxonomy places the organism in Eukaryota, Metazoa, Chordata, Actinopteri, Esociformes, Esocidae.
UAGCAAAACACGUUUGCCACCUACAAACUUAAGACCAAGCUCAGAGCACUGACUCUGGACAAAACCUUGUGCAACUGGACACUGGACAUAGUGACAUGCAGAACUCAGGCUGUGAAAAUUGUUAACAGCACAUCCUUCUGAAGACAGUUUGUAUGUGCUUGCGGCUUUAGGACCCAGUGUGGGCUUGUGAUGCUAGCCUAUCACGACAGCGUAGGAUCCAGCAGCAGCCUCUAUUCUAUGCGCUAAUGAAGUGGAGGCUCAUUUUCUCACUAGCAUAAAUCAUGUUGUACUCUAGUAAAAAAAGCCUAAUUUGGUAUUUUAUAUCCGUUGGUACGUUUGUGAACGGACAACUUGAUGACGCUAAACUAAAUGAAAGGCCGUAUGUUGUCCUACUGAAUCAAAAUUUGGUUUUGCUUGUUACGGUUUUCUCUAUCUUGCUGGUGGUGAUGAUUGGCAUGGCCGUUUGUGUAUAUAAACCAUUACAACGCCGGUGAAGCGGUGUACGGACGUCGUGUGCAGGUUCCUCCUGUGGGACAGGAUCCAAGGGAAUCAACAAUGGACUCAGCUAUCAUAAAGCCUAAAAUCUGUGAUAAACUGUCAUGUCUGAGAUUACAGGGUCUUUUUUUGUUUUACAUUAAUCGUACUCUAUUAUUGUAGUAUUUAUUUCCAGUGUAUACGUUUGCAAGGAAAUAAAUAUGUUUGUAUUGUCAUAUAUUAAUGGAGUUAGAACGUACAGUAUGCUUUUUAUUUGACAUAUUCUGCUUUACGCAAAAAUACAGUAUUAAAAACAAGAACUAACAAAUCUGUUCUUAUUUUAGCAAAAUCCACGACUUUGUAUGUUGUCAAAAGUUAUAACAGCUAUACCAAUUUCUACGGGUGUGUCGUGGGCAAAU